This 774-nucleotide long non-coding RNA is filed under the name Equus caballus (horse). Its description in RNAcentral is "lncRNA (ENSECAG00000044585.1)". The record is from RNAcentral. Lineage: Eukaryota; Metazoa; Chordata; Mammalia; Perissodactyla; Equidae.
UGAAAGCAGUGGCAAGAAAAUAUUUUUUUACCCACCUAGUUGGCAAGAGUUAACAAAAUGGUUAGAACCAGUGCUAGGGAGAAUGCAGAGAAUGGAUACCCAGACACCCGGAACGACAUCCACAUGGUUGGUGGGAGUGUGGAUUGCGACAGCUAAAUUUUUAAGGAAGGGACCUGCUAGAGCCUGUUGACGUUUGCAAUACACACGCCUGUGACCUGCCUUCCGCUUUGGGGAUUCUGUCCCACAGAAAGGAAAGCACCCUCACCAAAGGAAAUUUCUACCACGACGUCUGUGGAGCAUCGGCUGUGGGAGGCAAUGCACCAGAGACCAAGCAAGUGCCCUCCAUGUGGGGGUGUUUGCGCAGCCAUGGCGCCGUCCUUCAUCCGCCAGAAUACUAAGUGACUCUUAUAAGGAGUGGUUUGAGACUCAAAUGUACUGGCACGACAGACGCCAGUGAAACAUUAUUUUAAAAAAUGCAAGUUACGGAAUAGCAUGCAUCCUAAUCUGCUGGGCCCGAGCCACUGCGCUGAGCACAGCCCUGAAAAUGCGUGAAGAACCACAUGGGGCGACAAGGAUGAAGGCCACAAACAGGAUGGAGAAAGAAAGAAGCGGGUCAGAGAAGAAGAUUAGCCCUGAGCUAACAUCUGCUGCCAAUCCUCCUCUUUCUGCUGAGGAAGCCUGGCCCUGAGCUAAUAUCCGUGCCCAUCUUCCUCUACUUUAUAUAUGGGACGCCUACCACAGCAUGGUGUGCCAAGUGGUGCCGUGUCCGCACCC